GAAUGUAUGAGAAUACUACUUGGAUAACCGUAGUAAUUCUAGAGCUAAUACAUGCAACGACGCCCGACCGUUUCACUACGGAAGGGCUGUAUUUAUUGGAUACCAAAACCAUCCUUCCCUCGGGAAGUUUUGUUUGAUGAUUCACAAUAACUGAUCGGAUCGCCACUGUGGUGGCGACAGGUCAUUCAACAUUCUGCCCUAUCAGCUUUCGAUGGUUGUGUAGUGGACAACCAUGGCCAUAACGGGUAACGGAGAGUCAGGGUUCGAUUCCGGAGAAGGAGCUUGAGAAUUGGCUACUACAUCUAAGGAAGGCGGCAGGCGCGCAAAUUACCCAAUCCCGAUUCGGGGAGGUAGUGACAAAAAAUAACAAUACCGGGCCUUUUUGGGCUUGGUAAUUGGAAUGAGGGAGAGUUAAACGGACCAUCGAGUAUCUAUUGGAGGGCAAGUCUGGUGCCAGCAGCUGCGGUAAUACCAGCUCCAAUAGCGUAUAUUAAAGUUGUUGCAGUUAAAAAGCUCGUAGUUGGACUUGUGUGCGCUGUCCGCGGGUGGCCUGCGCCCAAAAGGGCGUUUCGGUUCGGCCCCGGUGGCGCCUUGAAAUCUGCAGCUGGGGGGACGUUGGCCUUAACUGGUCGGCGACCGCACGCCGGCUGCUCGGUUACUGUGAGAAAAUUAGAGUGUUCAAGGCAGGCAUUGGGUGCAAUUGAAUACAUUAGCACGGAAUAAUAAAAUAUGGCUCCUGCCGUAUUUUGUUGGUUUUGACUGGUGGGAGUAAUGAUUGAUAGGGACGGUUGGGGGUGCUAGUAUUGAGCGGCCAGAGGUGAAAUUCAUGGAUUCGCUCAAGACUAACUUAUGCGAAAGCAUUCACCAAGGACGUCCUCUUUAAUCAAGAACGAAAGUUGGGGGAUCGAAGACGAUCAGGUACCGUCGUAGUCUCAACCAUAAACUAUGUCGACUUGGGAUCGGCGGUAGUUUUUUCAUUAAGACACUGUCGGGACCACGGGAGAAAUCAAAGUGUCUGGACUCUGGGGGAAGUAUGGUCGCAAGGCUGAAACUUGAAGGAAUUGACGGAAGGGCACCACCAGGAGUGGAGCCUGCGGCUUAAUUUGACCCAACACGGGGAAACUUACCAGGUCCAGAGAUGUAGAGGAUUGACAGAUUGAAGCUCUUUCUUGAUCACUUCGGUGGUGGUGCAUGGCCGUUCUUAGUUGGUGGAGUGAUUUGUCUGGUUAAUUCCGUUAACGAACGAGACCUCAGCCUGCUAGUGUAGUCGGCUGGA
RNAcentral lists this ribosomal RNA (1276 nucleotides) under metagenome. RNAcentral's name for it is "SSU rRNA". It matches the Rfam family "Eukaryotic small subunit ribosomal RNA", at positions 119 to 1367 of the family's 1831-position model. The record is from RNAcentral.